GUCCAGUCGGGAGUUUCAGUCCUGUGCUGCAAACGUGUGACGACGGCUCCCGUCGUAACGAGGAGUCACUCUUCAAAAACAGCUCUGCAAUGAAAAUACAGGUGUCAGGAGACACACACAUGUGAACUGAAUCGUCUUGACACAGAUCAGCGCCCCCUGGUGGCCCAGAGUACUCACUGCAGCACACACUCGGGGAUCUGCACGUGCUCCAUGGGGAUGAGCUGGCUCAGCUCCUCCAGCGUGUGAACGUAGCGGAUCUUAUCCAUGAACUUCACACUGCGGAGAACGAGCAGCGACAGGCAGUGAGUGGCAGAACGUGCUCCUGGAGGAGCCCCUGCUCCUGGUUCGGCCCUUUCCCCUGUUUUUCAUGGAUGCUCACCUGAUGAAAGGCCGGGAGAUGGCGAGAACAGUCCGGAUAAACCACGUUGGGUGAGCGAUAAUGAGACACUUCAGGUUCUUCCUAAGCCUGCGUGAGACAUUCAGAUACUGUAGUACAGAAUAUAUUUAUAUCAGUAUAAAUGUGCCUUUCGUUCUGAUUCAUUGGCCCGUCUUACUUCCUGUCAAUCAUCUGGUAGCAUCUCUUCAGCCAGCCGAUGCCGGGCAUCUUCCUGCGAGGAGUGGCUCCAUUCAGGUAAAUGAUCAUGUAGUCCUCUGCCACCAGCAGCUCCAGGCUGCUCACAACGUAGCUGAAGACGGAGCCGAGCAAGUUCAGAUCAAAGCAACACAGCAACACAGGACUGAAGCACCUUAUUCUCCGUCCAUAGAAAAUCUAUGCCCAUUUACCAGUAUAAAAAGUCAAGCUAAGUUUGCAUGGAUGGAAUCAGGGUGCUCACAGGAAAAGGUUCUCCAUGAUGUAGGUGUAGUCCUCACAGCUGCUGUCAGGAAGGUAGCAGGCUGCGAACACGAUGAUGGCGUUCAGGCCCUCGCCGUAAUAACCUGAGAGACGACCACAUCAUCGAUCACAUCAUUCUGUGUGGACGUGCUGCGUGAGACGUUCCCACCGCUCACCUCCGUGCGUCACCACCCGGAGGAACGGCCGGAUGACCUGCAUGUCGAUGCGCUGCUCCUGGUCGCCGAUGACCACCGUCCUCCACAGGCGGCCGCUCGAGUCCCUCUCCUCCUCGCCGUCGCCCGGGAGACGCUUGGCGCUGGCGACGGGCGUGUCAUCUGUCGCACGGGGACAAACGCUGACGCCCGCUGCCCGUUUUCACCCGACGCGGCGCGGGUUUGUGUGUGUCUGACCUUCCCACUCCAGUUCGUUGCCGUUGUUGAUGAACUCCAGCGAGUCCGUCUCGUCGGGCGUUUCCAUGUCGUCCACGUUGAUGUCCAGGUCGUCGGACAGCACGGAGCCCUCGCUCUGGUCCAGGGACAGGUUCAUGUCGGGGGCGACCAGGGUGCGGCGCUUGUUCUGGCUCAGGGCCUCGCCCACGUUGAGGCUGCUGGGCGGAUCUGGAAGGACGCAGACAGACGCUCAGACAGAAUCUUCAGCCAGAACCAGGAUUGAAGCCUGGGCUGAUCUCACUCACUGUUCCUGUUAUCAGUAAAACCAUCCUCUGGCAGAGGCCUGCAAGAAAUACACAUAUGGAAUUAUAGCAACACAACAGCACAAUGAUGAAUGAUGAAUAUUGUGAAACAUCCCAGAAUCUGUAGUUCAUAAACUGUGGAGGUUUUAAUAGUUGCUGCUGCAGCAGCACACAAGCACUCAGACACAUUAAACUGUACAAGUGUGGGCAAGUUGAUGGCGCCUGUGGAUAAUCACUGUUAUUAUGCCGCCAGCAGCUUAACAGGUGAGAGGGAAUGAGCGUAAAUGCUUUUACACAGGCUGCAGGUUCCAGUGGGUAAUAAUAAAGCGUAACACUCAGACCAAAUCUCUUAUUACUCUGUAAUAACGUGGCUCCAUUUUUUUUUACGUAGCUUUCCUUUAAAAUGCUGCUCAAUAAAAAAAUCCUGUGCUGUGAAAACACAUUGUGUUGAAUAAAAUGUUUCCUGGGCCCAUUAUUCACAAAGAAGCUCUUCUUACAUUUGAGAACUGACACGACGUGUCAACCUCUUCACGUAACACACACACACACACACACACACACACACACACACACACACACACACACACACACACACACACACACACACACACACACACACACA
Long non-coding RNA from Betta splendens (Siamese fighting fish), 2145 nucleotides. RefSeq lists it as uncharacterized. Lineage: Eukaryota; Metazoa; Chordata; Actinopteri; Anabantiformes; Osphronemidae. The transcript has 3 exons. The record is from RefSeq and is a predicted model, not a curated record.